This is an unclassified non-coding RNA of Oncorhynchus mykiss (rainbow trout), 298 nucleotides long. It matches the Rfam family "Metazoan signal recognition particle RNA". Rfam says of the family: The signal recognition particle (SRP) is a universally conserved ribonucleoprotein. It is involved in the co-translational targeting of proteins to membranes. The record is from Ensembl. NCBI's taxonomy places the organism in Eukaryota, Metazoa, Chordata, Actinopteri, Salmoniformes, Salmonidae.
GUCGGGUGUGGUGGCAUGUGCCUGUAAUCCAAGUCACCGGGAGGCUGAGGUUGGUGGAUCAAGUGAGCUGAGGAGCUCUGGGCUGCAGCACACUAUGUCGAACAGGUGUCCACGCUAAAUUCGGUAUCAAUAUGGUGUUCCUGGGGACCCCGGGACCACCAGGUUGUCUAAGGAGGGGUGAACCAGCCCAGGUCGGAAACGAAGCAGGUCAAAUCCCCCGUGCUGUCCAGUAGUGGGAUAAUACCUGUGAGUAGAUGCUGCAGUGCAGCCUUGGCAAAACAUAGAGACCUAACCUUUU